GAUCAGUGGCUCGAGGACGACGCUGGCGGCGUGCCUAACACAUGCAAGUCGAACGGGGUUACCCUUCGGGGUAACUUAGUGGCGAACGGGUGAGUAACGCGUGAGAAACCUGCCUCUCAGUGGGGGACAACAGUUAGAAAUGACUGCUAAUACCGCAUAAGCGCACAGGACCGCAUGGUCUGGUGUAGAAAAACUCCGGUGGUAUGAGAUGGACCCGCGUCUGAUUAGCUAGUUGGUGGGUAACGGCCCACCAAGGCGACGAUCAGUAGCCGACCUGAGAGGGUGACCGGCCACAUUGGGACUGAGACACGGCCCAAACUCCUACGGGAGGCAGCAGUGGGGAAUAUUGCACAAUGGGCGAAAGCCUGAUGCAGCGACGCCGCGUGAGCGAAGAAGUAUUUCGGUAUGUAAAGCUCUAUCAGCAGGGAAGAAAAUGACGGUACCUGACUAAGAAGCACCGGCUAAAUACGUG
RNAcentral lists this ribosomal RNA (472 nucleotides) under uncultured bacterium. RNAcentral's name for it is "bacterial SSU rRNA". It matches the Rfam family "Bacterial small subunit ribosomal RNA", at positions 15 to 507 of the family's 1533-position model. The record is from RNAcentral.